UCUCCAUAGACCACCUCCUGUCUCCAUGGCACUUGCCACAGCUUUCGUUUAUAACUUUCUGUGAUUAGUUGAUGAGUAUCUAUGCGUUACACAGUGAGCAUAUAAUGAAUGCUUGAUAACUCCACUGUAAACUUAUAUCUGCAGCUCCUACCUUUGAUUUCCCUGCACAGAGUCUAAGGCUUAGGGAAUCUGAUUCGUGAUUGGAUAUAUUAAUAACUCUUCAAUCUGAAAAGCAAAUAAAGGAUAGCAUAUUAGUUACUUGCUACUGUGAUAAAAUACCAUGACCAAAAAUUACUUAUAGAUGGAUGCAUAAUGAUGAGGAGGCAUGGCACCAGGUAGCCAGAGCAGGAAGCAGAGAGAGCAAUGUAGAACUAAAGCAAGGUUCUACACUCAAAAUCUUCCCCAGUGGUGAACUUCCUCCAGCAAACUUCCACUUUUAAAGGUUUCAUAGCCCCCUUUAACACUGCUACCAACUGGAGUCAAGUAUACGAAUAUGGAAGCCUGUGGAGAAUAUUUCUCAUCCAGACUGCUGCAAAUACAUGAAAUCUUAAAAAAAAAAAAAAAAAAAAAAAAAAAAAACAGGUUCACUAGAAUUGCAAGCUUGAUAUUUUUAGCAAUUUGCUGUAUAACCUUGGUCAAAUAUUACAAUCUUUUAUAGACUUGGUUUCUAACAGUUAAUAAUUGUUGUUAUAUACAUAUUUAUUAUGCUUAUUAUCAGGUUCAAUUAGAAAAUGUCUGUUAACAUAAUGAAGACCAUAAAAUCAUACCACUAUUAUUUUAUUAGUUCUGUGUUAAUAUUGAAUUAAUCAACAUUUUAAUUUCCCCUGAGGGCAAUUUGUAAUGACCUCGCCCAAUGCACUGAAUAGAGUUGCAUAGGUCUUCUUCUAUUACUAAGCAUAUCUGUUGUUGUUGUUUUUUUCUCAUUUGUAUGAUCUAAUAGUAGGCAGAUAAAACAUAAGAGAGUAAGGGCUUAUUUUGGUUCACCCUCCAGAGAAUGCUGACAGGGAAGACACAGCAACGGGAAUUUCUCCAUCUUUAUCUCUGGCCAGGAGGCAGACACAGAGGAGUAUCGAUAUUCAUCUGCGUUUCUCCUAAUUCCUCUUUCCUUCAACCUAGAACACCACUGACCAUGGGAUGGUGCCACCAUAUUAAAUGUGUGUCUCAGUCCUCUCUGGAAACUCCUACAAAGACAUGCACAGAAUUGUGUCUUCUAGGUGAUUCCAAAUCCCAUGGACUUGAUAGUUAACUGUCACCUAAGUAUGGCUUUGAAAUAGUUCAGAUCCAGCAGACGUCAUGAACUGAAUUCUAUAUCCUCCUAGAGAAUGCCUCCAGCGUAUCUUUUCUUUAGUAUUUGACCACUCAUAGAAUGCAAUAUGUGAUGGCUCAGCAAGGCAGAGCCUGUAAUAAAAUUAAAGAUGCACAGCAACCACAAGAAAUAUGAAAUGUUGUAUUUCUCUGAAACCAUUUUUUUAAUGAAUGAAAUACUUAAUAAAAUAUUUUUAUCUUGCAGUUAUAUAUUUCUUUAAUUCUGGAAAAGUUAGGAAUUUAUGAAGAAAAAUUUAAUUCUCUGAACUUUUUGGAUUGUUUGCCUAUCUUAUUAUUAUCUUCUAAUAUCUUGCUUUUAAAUGCCUUCAGCAUUUAGAUACCUCUUGUAUCUAAAAUAUCAAUGAAAGGCCUAGAUUGUGCCAGAUUCUAGAAAGAUAUAAAAGAUUUUUAUAGUCAUGUGUCACUUAAAUGGGGAACUAGUCUAAGAUUGUUAUCAUUGUCCAAAUAUCACAGUGUGUUUACAUAUUCCUGGAUGGUUUAUGUCAUGCACUAGCUAUUUUUCCAUAAUAUAUGGAGAUUCAGUAACCAUGAACUGUAUGAAGCUGCACCUUCAUACACACAUGAGAUACUGUUAUAGUGGAAGCAUGUUUGAUAAAGAUAAAAAAAUAUACUAUAAAAAUAAUGUUUAAAGAUUCCCAUAAUAAUUACAUAAUUCAAAAACACCAUUUUGUCAUGUAUUGUGUACAAUAUGCUUUGUAUAUGGUACGUGCAGUAUUGCACACUGCCAGAAAAAUCAUUAUGUUUAUACUGGUAUGAGCACAAACAUGUAAAUAACAAAUGCUGUUAUUGUAGCCCUGACACCCCUGGAAAAUGGAAAAUUUUGAGAUCUAUAGUAUCAGUGAUUUGUGCAGUUUCUCACUGAGCAAAGUUUCUUUCUUAGUAUUAGACUAUAGAUCAUGAAUAGU
RNAcentral lists this long non-coding RNA (2231 nucleotides) under Mus musculus (house mouse). RNAcentral describes it as "long non-coding RNA chr1:129860814-129863045". The record is from RNAcentral. Lineage: Eukaryota; Metazoa; Chordata; Mammalia; Rodentia; Muridae.